CGACCUGUUGGAUUUCGACUAAGCAUCCGUGGAAUUCGUUGCUAUUAUUAAGAAGAAGAUUGUUUCAAGUGGAAAUCUGAAAUUAACUGGAUUAGAUGCUAGAGAGAUGCCACGAGAGAUAGAACACAUCCAAAAAUUCAUUAUAAUUAAAAAAACCAACCUUGAAACCAUAUUCGAAGAACCAAAACCAAAAUUAAAUCCAUAUAUGGGGAUUAGAAAAAUCAAAAGAUUGUUACCACUAGGAAAAAGCAGGACUUUAAGUGCAGAAAAGAAAAUGCUCCGGCGAUUAAAGGUUAUUACAAUGGGGAAAAAAUCAUUCCUAAAUAGAAAAAAAAUCAGUAUGGCGAACUUCAAGAAACAUUUAGAAGAACUCCAACUCGCUUCUCAGGAGGAAUAGCUUUUAAGAUAUUGUUAUUUAUUAUUAUCUUAUUAAAUUAGAAUAUAUGACUUAUUAGAUUAGAUUAAUAUUACAGUGAAAUUUGUCUUAUGACUCUUAUGAAAAUGCUCACGAGGCGUUGUGGAAUUGCAGAAAGAUCACAGCAAAAUGAGUAUUGUGUCUGUCUGUGGUCUUUCUGUGAUUGCCACAAUGCGUUGUGAGCAUUUUCUUAGGAGCCAUAACAUGAAUUUUGCAAUAGGGAUAACUGUCACAUGAGUUUUAUUAGGAGACAUAACAUGUAUUUUGCAAUAGGGAUAACUGUCACAUAAUUAUAAGUUUUUUGUCUGAAUUAAUUAAACUAUAAUAAUAUCA
Molecule: long non-coding RNA, 748 nt
Organism: Maniola jurtina (meadow brown)
Lineage: Eukaryota; Metazoa; Arthropoda; Insecta; Lepidoptera; Nymphalidae
Exons: 2
Source: RefSeq, a predicted model, not a curated record